This 341-nucleotide unclassified non-coding RNA is filed under the name Hevea brasiliensis (rubber tree). The record is from RNAcentral. Lineage: Eukaryota; Viridiplantae; Streptophyta; Magnoliopsida; Malpighiales; Euphorbiaceae.
AUGCUUCAAAUGAACCAGAAUAAGGAAGUAAUGUCCAUAAAGAUGAAAAAUAAGUAACUUGAAAUAAAAAGUAACAUUUUGUUCCAACGUUUUUCAGGGAGAAACAUGGGAGAAAAUACUCGAACAUCAAUAUAUCCAAUAGGUGUAGCAUAUCAAGAGAAGACUUAUCUCUCCAAAAGAUUACUUUUCAUUCUUCCCAUUUUUCCAUCUUACAUAUAAAAACCAUAGGAAAGACCAAAAAAGUGAAGUGCAAUCCUUAUCACAGGGCAUAAAACAGAAAUAUCACAAAAUAAAAUAUCAUGUUUAAUACCUCAAGAUGGGCAUUGAAAGAGUCGUAUGCA